GUGACAGGUGGUGCAUGGUUGUCGUCAGCUCGUGUCGUGAGAUGUUGGGUUAAGUCCCGCAACGAGCGCAACCCUUGUCUUUAGUUGCCAUCAUUAAGUUGGGCACUCUAGAGAGACUGCCAGGGAUAACCUGGAGGAAGGUGGGGAUGACGUCAAAUCAUCAUGCCCCUUAUGCUUAGGGCUACACACGUGCUACAAUGGGUAGUACAGAGGGUUGCCAAGCCGUAAGGUGGAGCUAAUCCCUUAAAGCUACUCUCAGUUCGGAUUGUAGGCUGAAACUCGCCUACAUGAAGCUGGAGUUACUAGUAAUCGCAGAUCAGAAUGCUGCGGUGAAUGCGUUCCCGGGUCUUGUACACACCGCCCGUCACACCACGGGAGUUGGAGACGCCCGAAGCCGAUUAUCUAACCUUUUGGAAGAAGUCGUCGAAGGUGGAAUCAAUAACUGGGGUGAAGUCGUAACAAGGUAGCCGUAUCGGAAGGUGCGGCUGGAUCACCUCCUUUCUAAGGA
RNAcentral lists this ribosomal RNA (508 nucleotides) under Clostridioides difficile. Its description in RNAcentral is "bacterial SSU rRNA". It matches the Rfam family "Bacterial small subunit ribosomal RNA", at positions 1031 to 1533 of the family's 1533-position model. The record is from RNAcentral. Lineage: Bacteria; Bacillati; Bacillota; Clostridia; Peptostreptococcales; Peptostreptococcaceae.